This 497-nucleotide ribosomal RNA is filed under the name uncultured bacterium. RNAcentral's name for it is "partial 16S ribosomal RNA". It matches the Rfam family "Bacterial small subunit ribosomal RNA", at positions 28 to 507 of the family's 1533-position model. The record is from RNAcentral.
GAUGAACGCUGGCGGCGUGCCUAAUACAUGCAAGUCGAGCGAACAGACGAGGAGCUUGCUCCUCUGACGUUAGCGGCGGACGGGUGAGUAACACGUGGAUAACCUACCUAUAAGACUGGGAUAACUUCGGGAAACCGGAGCUAAUACCGGAUAAUAUAUUGAACCGCAUGGUUCAAUAGUGAAAGACGGUUUUGCUGUCACUUAUAGAUGGAUCCGCGCCGCAUUAGCUAGUUGGUAAGGUAACGGCUUACCAAGGCAACGAUGCGUAGCCGACCUGAGAGGGUGAUCGGCCACACUGGAACUGAGACACGGUCCAGACUCUUACGGGAGGCAGCAGUAGGGACUCUUCCGCAAUGGGCGAAAGCCUGACGGAGCAACGCCGCGUGAGUGAUGAAGGUCUUCGGAUCGUAAAACUCUGUUAUUAGGGAAGAACAAAUGUGUAAGUAACUAUGCACGUCUUGACGGUACCUAAUCAGAAAGCCACGGCUAACUACGUG